UGCAGCUGUGUCAAAUUCGGUGCCUGCCCCACCCAUGGCAGACAUGGGCCCAAAAGGCUGCUACAAUAACACUGUGACUCAUGGGCCCUGAUCCCCUCUCCUGGGCCUCAGGGAUAAAUUUGGUUACAGACACCA
Talpa occidentalis (Iberian mole) is the source of this 135-nucleotide small nucleolar RNA. RefSeq annotates it as small nucleolar RNA SNORA5. NCBI's taxonomy places the organism in Eukaryota, Metazoa, Chordata, Mammalia, Eulipotyphla, Talpidae. The record is from RefSeq and is a predicted model, not a curated record. The transcript has a single exon.